This 429-nucleotide ribosomal RNA is filed under the name Bacillus pumilus. Its description in RNAcentral is "bacterial SSU rRNA". It matches the Rfam family "Bacterial small subunit ribosomal RNA", at positions 56 to 479 of the family's 1533-position model. The record is from RNAcentral. Lineage: Bacteria; Bacillati; Bacillota; Bacilli; Caryophanales; Bacillaceae.
UGCAAGUCGAGCGGACAGAAGGGAGCUUGCUCCCGGAUGUUAGCGGCGGACGGGUGAGUAACACGUGGGUAACCUGCCUGUAAGACUGGGAUAACUCCGGGAAACCGGAGCUAAUACCGGAUAGUUCCUUGAACCGCAUGGUUCAAGGAUGAAAGACGGUUUCGGCUGUCACUUACAGAUGGACCCGCGGCGCAUUAGCUAGUUGGUGAGGUAACGGCUCACCAAGGCGACGAUGCGUAGCCGACCUGAGAGGGUGAUCGGCCACACUGGGACUGAGACACGGCCCAGACUCCUACGGGAGGCAGCAGUAGGGAAUCUUCCGCAAUGGACGAAAGUCUGACGGAGCAACGCCGCGUGAGUGAUGAAGGUUUUCGGAUCGUAAAGCUCUGUUGUUAGGGAAGAACAAGUGCAAGAGUAACUGCUUGCACC